This 200-nucleotide ribosomal RNA is filed under the name uncultured bacterium. Its description in RNAcentral is "partial 16S ribosomal RNA". It matches the Rfam family "Bacterial small subunit ribosomal RNA", at positions 1301 to 1500 of the family's 1533-position model. The record is from RNAcentral.
UAGGCUGCAACUCGCCUAUAUGAAGUCGGAAUUGCUAGUAAUCGCGGAUCAGCAUGCCGCGGUGGAUACGUUCCCGGGCCUUGUACACACCGCCCGUCACACCAUGAGAGCCGGGAACACCCGAAGUCCGUAGUCUAACCGCAAGGAGGACGCGGCCGAAGGUGGGUUUGGUAAUUGGGGUGAAGUCGUAACAAGGUAGC